GAUGAACGCUAGCGGCAGGCUUAACACAUGCAAGUCGAACGGUAACAUGGAAGCUUGCUUCUGAUGACGAGUGGCGCACGGGUGCGUAACGCGUAUGCAACCUACCUUUUACAGAGGGAUAGCCCAGAGAAAUUUGGAUUAACACCUCAUAGUAUUAUUGAUUGGCAUCGAUUAAUAAUUAAAACUUUGGUGGUAAAAGAUGGGCAUGCGUUCUAUUAGCUAGUUGGUGUGGUAACGGCAUACCAAGGCGACGAUAGAUAGGGGCCCUGAGAGGGGGAUCCCCCACACUGGUACUGAGACACGGACCAGACUCCUACGGGAGGCAGCAGUGAGGAAUAUUGGUCAAUGGAGGGAACUCUGAACCAGCCAUGCCGCGUGCAGGAUGACUGCCCUAUGGGUUGUAAACUGCUUUUAUACAGGAAGAAACACUGGUACGUGUACCAGCUUGACGGUACUGUAAGAAUAAGGAUCGGCUAACUCCGUGCCAGCCGCCGCCGUAACAC
This 503-nucleotide ribosomal RNA is filed under the name uncultured bacterium. RNAcentral's name for it is "bacterial SSU rRNA". It matches the Rfam family "Bacterial small subunit ribosomal RNA", at positions 28 to 526 of the family's 1533-position model. The record is from RNAcentral.